This 76-nucleotide transfer RNA is filed under the name Caryophanales bacterium. Its description in RNAcentral is "tRNA-Val". It matches the Rfam family "tRNA". Rfam says of the family: Transfer RNA (tRNA) molecules are approximately 80 nucleotides in length. Their secondary structure includes four short double-helical elements and three loops (D, anti-codon, and T loops). Lineage: Bacteria; Bacillati; Bacillota; Bacilli; Caryophanales. The record is from RNAcentral.
GGAAGUUUAGCUCAGCUGGGAGAGCAACGCCCUUACAAGGCGUGGGUCGUGGGUUCGAGCCCCUCAACUUCCACCA